UAAUGGGAAGCAAAGUUUUGCGUUUAGUUUCGGCCUAAAAGUUUGAUUGUUAUCCCCAUUAU
Molecule: transfer RNA, 62 nt
Filed under: Scorpiops tibetanus
Lineage: Eukaryota; Metazoa; Arthropoda; Arachnida; Scorpiones; Euscorpiidae
Description: tRNA-Arg
Source: RNAcentral